UCCUUGUUUCCAAGGCAGUCCCGCUAAAGUGCUCAACUAAAUGUAGCAACUAGCGGCAAGGGUUGCGCUCGUUAAAGGACUUAACCCAACAUCUCACGACACGAGCUGACGACAGCCAUGCAGCACCUGUUAAUGUGCUUGAGUUACCCCAAGAAAUACUAUCUCUAGCAUCGUCACAAAAAUGUCAAGCCUGGGUAAGGUUACUCGCGUAGUGUCGAAUUAAACCACAUGUUCCACCGCUUGUGCGGACCCCCGUCAAUUUCUUUGAGUUUUAAUCUUGCGAUCGUACUACUCAGGCGGAUCACUUAACGCGUUAGCUUCGACACGGAUCCUCCGAAGAAGACCCACAUCUAGUGAUCAUCGUUUACAGCGUGGACUAC
Molecule: unclassified non-coding RNA, 380 nt
Filed under: uncultured bacterium
Lineage: Bacteria
Description: contains 16S-23S intergenic spacer region
Source: RNAcentral